GACGAACGCUGGCGGCGUGCUUAACACAUGCAAGUCGAACGGAGUGGCGAACGGGUGAGUAUUACGUGAGUAACCUGCCCUCAACUGUGGGAUAAGCCUGGGAAACUGGGUCUAAUACUGCAUAGUUGGGGAUGGGCUCGCGGACGAUGAGCUUGGUGGGGGGGUGAUGGCCUAACAAGGCGGUGACGGGUAGCCGGCCUGCGAGGGUGGUCGGACAGAGCGGGGCUGAAGUACUGCACGGAAGCCUACGGUAGGGAGCAGUGGGGGAUAUUGCACAGUGGGAGCAAGCCGGAUGCAGCGACUCCGGGUGAGGGAUGAAGGGUUUCGGGUUGUAAUCCUCUUUCGGUACAGAACGGGUAUGUUCAGAAGAAGCGCCGGCUAACUACGUGCCAGCAGCCGCGGUAAUAC
This 408-nucleotide ribosomal RNA is filed under the name uncultured bacterium. RNAcentral describes it as "partial 16S ribosomal RNA". It matches the Rfam family "Bacterial small subunit ribosomal RNA", at positions 28 to 526 of the family's 1533-position model. The record is from RNAcentral.